AACGAACGCUUGCGGCGCGCCUAAUACAUGCAAGUCGAACGACGUAGCAAUACGGAGUGGCGCACGGGUGAGUAACGCGUGGAUAAUCUGCCUUUCAGUGGGGAAUAACUAUCCGAAAGGAUAGCUAACACCGCAUGAGACCACAGGGCCUGAGGGCCUAGGGGUUAAAAAUUUAUUGCUGAAAGAUGAGUAUGCGGGUGAUUAGCUAGUUGGUGAGGUAACGGCUCACCAAGGCAACGAUCACUAGGGGAUCUGAGAGGACUACCCCCCACACUGGUACUGAGACACGGACCAGACUCCUACGGGAGGCAGCAGUAAGGAAUAUUGGACAAUGGAGGCAACUCUGAUCCAGCCAUGCCGCGUGCAGGAUGAAGGCCCUAUGGGUCGUAAACUGCUUUUGUACGAGAGAAAACCUAUUUACGUGUAGAUAGUUGAUAGUAUCGUAAGAAUAAGGAUCGGCUAACUUCGUGCCAGCAGCCGCGGUAAAGUCUGU
RNAcentral lists this ribosomal RNA (493 nucleotides) under uncultured bacterium. RNAcentral's name for it is "bacterial SSU rRNA". It matches the Rfam family "Bacterial small subunit ribosomal RNA", at positions 29 to 528 of the family's 1533-position model. The record is from RNAcentral.